GUGGGGAAUAUUCCGCAAUGGACGAAAGUCUGACGGAGCAACGCCGCGUGAGUGAUGAAGGUUUUCGGACUGUAAAGCUCUGUUGUUUGGGACGAAAGUGCCUGUUGCGAACAGUUACGGGUAUUGACGGUACUAAACGAGGAAGCCACGGCUAACUACGUGCCAGCAGCCGCGGUAAUACGUAGGUGGCAAGCGUUGUCCGGAAUUAUUGGGCGUAAAGAGCAUGUAGGCGGGAAUCUAAGUCUGUUGUGAAAAUGCGGGGCUCAACCCCGUAUUGCGAUGGAAACUGGGUUUCUUGAGUGCAGGAGAGGAAAGGGGAAUUCCCAGUGUAGCGGUGAAAUGCGUAGAUAUUGGGAGGAACACCAGUGGCGAAGGCGCCUUUCUGGACUGUGUCUGACGCUGAGAUGCGAAAGCCAGGGUAGCGAACGGGAUUAGAUACCCUAGUAGUCC
Molecule: ribosomal RNA, 450 nt
Filed under: uncultured bacterium
Lineage: Bacteria
Description: partial 16S ribosomal RNA
Rfam family: Bacterial small subunit ribosomal RNA
Source: RNAcentral